Biomphalaria glabrata is the source of this 2198-nucleotide long non-coding RNA. RefSeq lists it as uncharacterized. The transcript has 2 exons. The record is from RefSeq and is a predicted model, not a curated record. Lineage: Eukaryota; Metazoa; Mollusca; Gastropoda; Planorbidae.
UAUCGCAGAGUGACUUUGUUUUGGAUCUACAAGCAGUCGUCGCCUGUUUGAUCGCACGUUCAACGAGCCGUUAACUCAGGGUGACCUUCGUCAGGACCGUAAUCAUCGCAACGCCUGAUCUUCAUAUGCUGAAUCGACCUACAGCCAGAGAAACCGUUCAUUCAUAACGGGUGAGAGAUCGUUAGUGAACCUGUUGGACAUAUUUUUUCUUCGUCAUAGGAGCCACAUUGAGUAUCAAGUUUUACCUCGUCAGUUUCGAGAAGGACAGUUUACCCGCUGUCAGAAGUAUUGUGAGUACUACAAGUUUGGUAGCUAACUAAAUCGAAAUCGCUCUGUCGUCUUACCCUUGGAGAGAUUCUUGUGGAGCAGUUUGCUCAUUGAACCGGUUGCUUGCCACGUUUAUAACGGUCACUGUGUUUAACCUUUGGAAGGUUAGUGAAGUAAUCUUUAUCAGUACUGAACAUUGAUAUAUCUAGUAUUCGUCGGUCUAGACCAUAUCUAGACUUGUUGAUAUUGCAGUUGUGGAAACAGCUACAUCCACUUAAUCUCGUUGAAAACCGUUAGUCGUAUAACGGAACGUCGUCGGAGGUGACCUUGGUCUCACCUAGUCUACAUUGGACAGUUUGGUCUAGUGAAGCAGAGUACAACAGCAAACUUCGUCGUACUACCAGAGUAGCAGCAGAAGCAGUGAACUAUUUUAGAGAACCGUUAUUCGUCAGCCCAGAUCAAGUCAUCGUCAAGAAAGCCGUUAUUCGUCAGCCCAGAUCAAGUCAUCGUCAAGAAAUUCGUUAUUCGUCAGUCGUCCAGAUCAAGUUGUCGUCAAGAGACUGUUAUUUGUCAGUAGUCGUCUACACAAGUCAAGUCAUCGCCAGAAGAACCGUUAACCUAUUCGUCAGUAACUGUGUACACAAGGUCGUCGGAACUACACAUACGGUCAUCAACAGUCGUCGAAGAAACUGGAACAUUUUGCUGUGGCAUAUCAGGACAUCUGUGGCAUUACGUGGGAUACUGGUAGCACCGGAGAACAGAGUCAGAACUGGAAGAGAGGCAGUGGAAUUUGUUGUGAUCUAACAUAUUCGGGAGUCCGAACAAAGGGAUCUUUCUUAUCAAAAGCUAAGUGCCAUUUUUCUUAUUAGUAUAUGUUUAGAUUGCCCUUAGAAAUAGAUAUCUAUUUUGUCUAAAUUUGGUACGUUAGCCUGAGUAAAAUCAGGUGGUGCGCCUUAAAACCCGUCGGGGUAGAAGACGUAAUUUAGAUGAAAAGCUAUAUUAUACGUUUAGGGUUGUAAUUUGUUUUGUUUGUGCAAACGUCAUAUCCGUUGUUGCCUGGUUACUUCGUGACGUUAUCAUUGUGUGCCAUAUUGUCACAUCCCAACCCAUAGUGAUAGUCUCAUUUAAUUAUUUCAUUUGUUUAUAUUAUUUUAAAUUAUUUAUUUUUAUUAAUUUAAUUAGAUCUGUAUUUUUUUUUCACUUAAUGAUAGAAAGUGCGGGUAGGAUUCUUUUACUGUGAAUCAGACUAAAAUAAUUUUAGUUUGAGCGGUUAAAAUCAAUUAUGAUUUUGCCAUGAGAAUAAUGCCGAAACUGGCUAUGUAGUCAAACACUAUCGUCUGGCUAAAUUUAGAUCUGCAAAUUGUUGUACAUCUCUUUGGUACAAUUUAAUUAUCUAGACUCUACUUUGAAAUAUUAUUAAGUUGAAGAUGAAUGAAGAUUACUGCCAGUGAAGAACAUUUGAGAUGUAUAGGACGUGCCCAUAAGAUGCCACAUUUUCCUCCAUGAUGAACUAUGUACCAAUGAAGAUGAUUCUGGAAUGUUAUGAACUGUUAUGAACAUUGACAUGAAUAUGAGGAACUGUCAAGAUGAAGAUGUCAAGAUGAAGAGAUCAAGAUUUUAUGUUUGUGGUCUUCCCCUUAAAUUGAAAAUGCCCUUGUAAGACUUGACAGUAGUGGAAAAAUAUUGACAUAUUUUUUUUUCAAGGGGGGGAGGAAUCUGUUAGACACCUUAUUUAUAUAGGUUAGUUAUUUUAGUUAUUUAGCGACGCACCAUAGUAGACGCAUAUUGAACGGGACUAGUGACGUUUGGGAUAUGUUGGGUUAGAGACCGGAAAAUCAGUUAGCGAUAGAACAUUCCAGGGUAACGACGUGUUUAGUGACAGAGACUUCUACUGUGGCCCUUUUAUCAUAAUAAAUACAUGUUGAAUAGUU